CUGGAGGAAACCCAUACAGUCAUGCAGGGAGAACGUGCAAACUCUAUACAGACAGCACCCGAGGUCAGGAUCGAACCUGGGUCUCUGGUGCUUUGAGGCAAGAGCUCUACCAGCUGUUCCACUGGCUUGAAUUGUCAGCGAGUUUGAAUAUUUUGCACAUGGUCCUCUCAUUGAUAAACAUGCAACAUGACACAAGCCUGAUCACUGAUCCUAGUGGCACUCCACUAGUUACAGCUUGCCAACCUAUGAAUGGCCCAUUUAAUCCUCAACUCUGUUCUAGUCAUUAAUUAAACCUCAGUCCAUACUCAUAUAUAAACACCAGUCAUAUGACUACAAAUUUCUGUAUUACAAUUUCUUGUAUUAAUUAAUUUGUUUUUGAAGAUCCAAACACACUGCUUCCAUUAGUUCCCCUAAUUAACUUUGCUCGUUAAAUUCUCGAAAAAACAGCUGAAUGAAAACAUGAUUUCCAUUUUAUAAAUCCAUGUUAGCUCUUGUGAAUUGUAUUAUCAAUUUUCCAACCAUGUUACUAAUGAAAUCUUCGAUCAUCUUCCCACUGCAGAUGUUUUCCUAACCAGCCUGUGGCACCCGAUAUCCUUGCAGCUCUUUGUGUGAAUGUCAUAGGUAUCACUGACAGUACAGCACUCUUUAAAUGCAUAAUUACAAUGUCAAUCUAGAUUAUGGGCACAUGUCUCUGGAUUCCAGAACCUACAUUUACAAUCUUCCUAUUCAGUGUUGUAAGUGCUGUAAAGAUUCGGUAUGCUGACUUUGGAUUAUGUGUUAAACAAAAUCUUGCCCACCUUCUC
Amblyraja radiata (thorny skate) is the source of this 803-nucleotide long non-coding RNA. RefSeq lists it as uncharacterized. The record is from RefSeq and is a predicted model, not a curated record. Lineage: Eukaryota; Metazoa; Chordata; Chondrichthyes; Rajiformes; Rajidae. The transcript has 3 exons.